Molecule: non-coding RNA, 216 nt
Organism: Pelobates cultripes (western spadefoot toad)
Lineage: Eukaryota; Metazoa; Chordata; Amphibia; Anura; Pelobatidae
Source: the annotation of a GenBank genome assembly
CCAGGUUCGGCACGUUCCCUUCAUUUGAAUAGAACUGAGUGCUAGCUCCCUGGUGGCCGUUCUCAUGAACAAAACCCAUGAACGGUCUUCAGCGGUACUUAGCCAUGACCGUUAUGAGACUAAUUUCGGCAUAAGGACUUUGUGGUUCCCUGGUCACUUCAACAAUACUUAACCGUAAGCAACGUGGCCAUAAUAAAGCAGUUCCUUUUCACCUUC